This 450-nucleotide ribosomal RNA is filed under the name uncultured bacterium. RNAcentral's name for it is "partial 16S ribosomal RNA". It matches the Rfam family "Bacterial small subunit ribosomal RNA", at positions 354 to 796 of the family's 1533-position model. The record is from RNAcentral.
GUGGGGAAUAUUGGACAAUGGGCGAAAGCCUGAUCCAGCCAUGCCGCGUGUGUGAAGAAGGUCUUCGGAUUGUAAAGCACUUUAAGUUGGGAGGAAGGGCAGUAAGUUAAUACCUUGCUGUUUUGACGUUACCGACAGAAUAAGCACCGGCUAACUUCGUGCCAGCAGCCGCGGUAAUACGAAGGGUGCAAGCGUUAAUCGGAAUUACUGGGCGUAAAGCGCGCGUAGGUGGUUUUGUAAGUUGGAGGUGAAAUCCCCGGGCUCAACCUGGGAACUGUCUCCAAAACUGCAUGACUAGAGUACGGUAGAGGGUAGUGGAAUUUCCUGUGUAGCGGUGAAAUGCGUAGAUAUAGGAAGGAACACCAGUGGCGAAGGCGACUACCUGGACUGAUACUGACACUGAGGUGCGAAAGCGUGGGGAGCAAACAGGAUUAGAUACCCUAGUAGUCC